GUGCAAUCUUCUUUAUUGAUCUAUUUGUUUAUAUCCCUAUUCCAUUCAUUUCUAUGAUUUAGUCAUCUGGUGGGCGUGGUUGAGUGCGCAGGUGCGUCAUUCAAACCGAGCGAGAUGACUGUUGAGAAUCAGCGCGAGACAGCUCCUUUCAGCUAAAUUGAGAUGUGUCGUUAUCUCUAGCAUCCCUGCUGGUGCCUCUACAAAUUACACCUGCAACAUGAGGGGUCGUCAUGUGAACAUCAUCAUUCCCAAUGUUAUCCAGGCUCUCACGCUCUGUGAAGUGGAAGUCUAUGGGGUUCCA
Molecule: long non-coding RNA, 301 nt
Organism: Ictalurus punctatus (channel catfish)
Lineage: Eukaryota; Metazoa; Chordata; Actinopteri; Siluriformes; Ictaluridae
Source: Ensembl